This 480-nucleotide ribosomal RNA is filed under the name uncultured bacterium. RNAcentral describes it as "partial 16S ribosomal RNA". It matches the Rfam family "Bacterial small subunit ribosomal RNA", at positions 28 to 507 of the family's 1533-position model. The record is from RNAcentral.
GAUGAACGCUAGCGGCAGGCCUAACACAUGCAAGUCGAGGGGUAGAAGGAGCUUGCUCCUUUGAGACCGGCGCACGGGUGCGUAACGCGUAUGCAAUCUACCUUGUACAGGGGAAUAGCCCAGAGAAAUUUGGAUUAAUGCCCCAUAGUAUAUAACCUUCGCAUGUUGGUUAUAUUAAAGUUCCAACGGUACAAGAUGAGCAUGCGUCCCAUUAGUUAGUUGGUAAGGUAACGGCUUACCAAGACGAUGAUGGGUAGGGGUCCUGAGAGGGAGAUCCCCCAGACUGGUACUGGGACACGGACCAGACUCCUGCGGGAGGCAGCAGUGAGGAAUAUUGGGCAAUGGUCGCAAGACUGAACCAGCCAGGCCGCGUGCAGGGAGGCGGUCCUAUGGAUUGUAAACUGCUGUUAUACAGGAAGAAGCGCUCCGACAUGUGAGAGCUUGACGGUACUGUAGGAAUAAGGAUCGGCUAACUCCGUG